AGCAGCCGCGGUAAUUCCAGCUCCAAUAGCGUAUAUUAAAGUUGUUGCAGUUAAAAAGCUCGUAGUUGAAUUUCGGGGUUAGUAGAUUGGUCAUGCCUCCGGUAUGCACUGGUCUUACUGGCUCCUCCUUCCUGAUGAACCGUAAUGCCAUUAAUUUGGUGUUGCGGGGAGACUGGACUGUUACUUUGAAAAAUUAGAGUGUUUAAAGCAGGCUAACGCUUGAAUACAUUAGCAUGGAAUAAUGAAAUAGGACGUUCGAUCUUAUUUUGUUGGUUUCUAAGAUUGACGUAAUGAUUAAUAGGGAUAGUUGGGGGUCAUUAGUAUUCAAUUGUCAGAGGUGAAAUUCUUGGAUUAUUGAAGACUAACUACUGCGAAAGCAUUUG
RNAcentral lists this ribosomal RNA (383 nucleotides) under uncultured Glomus. Its description in RNAcentral is "SSU rRNA". It matches the Rfam family "Eukaryotic small subunit ribosomal RNA", at positions 569 to 957 of the family's 1831-position model. Lineage: Eukaryota; Fungi; Glomeromycota; Glomeromycetes; Glomerales; Glomeraceae. The record is from RNAcentral.